Molecule: transfer RNA, 89 nt
Filed under: Actinomycetota bacterium
Lineage: Bacteria; Bacillati; Actinomycetota
Description: tRNA-Ser
Rfam family: tRNA
About the family: Transfer RNA (tRNA) molecules are approximately 80 nucleotides in length.
Source: RNAcentral
GGAGAGGUGGCCGAGUGGCUGAAGGCACUCGCCUGCUAAGCGAGUAUGGGGCGAAAUCUCCAUCAGGGGUUCGAAUCCCCUCCUCUCCG